RNAcentral lists this ribosomal RNA (253 nucleotides) under uncultured bacterium. Its description in RNAcentral is "partial 16S ribosomal RNA". It matches the Rfam family "Bacterial small subunit ribosomal RNA", at positions 524 to 776 of the family's 1533-position model. The record is from RNAcentral.
UACAGAGGGGGCAAGCGUUGUUCGGAAUUACUGGGCGUAAAGGGCGCGUAGGCGGCCUGUUAAGUCGAACGUGAAAUCCCUGGGCUCAACCCAGGAACUGCGUCCGAUACUGGCAGGCUUGAAUCCGGGAGAGGGAUGUGUAAUUCCAGGUGUAGCGGUGAAAUGCGUAGAUAUCUGGAGGAACACCGGUGGCGAAGGCGGCAUCCUGGACCGGUAUUGACGCUGAGGCGCGAAAGCCAGGGGAGCAAACGGG